RNAcentral lists this long non-coding RNA (1899 nucleotides) under Chrysemys picta bellii (western painted turtle). RNAcentral describes it as "lncRNA (ENSCPBG00000018576.1)". Lineage: Eukaryota; Metazoa; Chordata; Testudines; Emydidae. The record is from RNAcentral.
CUGACUAAUAUCCAAGGCCAUAUUUUAUAGUCAGCUAAAGCAAUGCACUUGUUCUCAUGAUAUCCAGUACAAAUAAUUCAAAAACACACUGAAGUCAAACUCGAAAGCAUGUCUGGUUCACCAUAGCAACUAGGAAGCAAGAGCCCAUGACAGAGUAAGGUGGUGGCAGACUUGUAUCACCAUUUACUGCUUUGAAGCAAGGUGUAUUAACACUUGGUGUGGAAAAUGAACAGCACAAAGCAAGGAUAGAACAGCCUGCAAUGGUCAUAGACAAUCUUGUGGGACAGACAUGUAACCGUGUUUGGCGUUGGUCUGAUCGCACACACGUAUUCACCUAUAGUGUUUGCUGAAUUCUUGUAUGAUGACAUGAGAGCCUCCAUAUGAAAGUAGUAGGUUCUCAGUCUAAUUUCCAGAGGACAAAUAUCCACAUCACAAAAUUAAUACUAAUUGUCCCUGUCAUGGAAGACUCAGCAGAGAAGCCAAGGACUGAAUAGGCCACAGGGAUUGAACUCUCGCCCCAUCAGAGAGAGAGUGUCCAAGUCAGCCUAGUGGUUUUUCCCAACUCCACUUCUGCUAAUGGUCACUGUACAAAGAGUUAUGGGCAAAUAUUGGCUCGGAUACUGAUGGCAUCAAGGGCAAAAGCCUGGGUCUUGCACAAUGCCCUAGUAAAUAGGUUUUGUGGAGGAGAUCUCUGCAGGGGUUGGAAUCCUCCCUUCUCCCAGUCGCGCACCACCAGAAGGAGCUGGUCUGUGGCUGUUACUGUAGCCUCAAUGAGCUACCAUUCCAGUGUUAGCGCCUUUCUGAAGAAGGAGAGCGUGACGCGCACAAUUUAUUCCAAGCUAAAUUGCCUACCCUGCCCAGAAGGCUUCAUUUUAUUUAUGGGAAAAUAUACUUGUUAAUAAUCUCACAGAAAUGAUCUAACUGGGGAAAAGUCUCCUCUGACUAAAUCCAUUCUAAUUAACUAUUUGGCAAAAUGUUUAGGCAGGAGAACUGACUCUGAACUGAUUCCUGACAGAGCAGAUUUUGCAUGGGUCUUAACAGUCGCACUGCUGGCAUCCGUUUGUUUUGAGAACAUUUUCAAACCAAAUUAUGAGUUACAAAAGCAGCUCCACUCUAUGCACUUUCUCAUCCCUAAAGUUGACUGUUACAGGCCCAACAGGAAUUAAAUAAGAACAGCCAAUGCUACAGGGAACCCAAAAAACAACAAACAAGGGUGGAGUAAGAAUAACUCAUGCUGUAAAGAAUCAUCGUAGUUGCUGAACAGUUCUGUAAAAUUAAAAGGGAAGCUGAGCAAAAAAACAAACAACUCAACCCAGCACACAAACAAUCUAGCAUGCAGCUGGGUGAAGGGAUCCGUAGUGACUGAAAAUGUUCACGAAGGAAUUCCACAAAGCCAUUGCACAUCACAAAUACUAAUUACUCACACUCAAGCAGGGACUUGUUUUCUUAGGAUCUGAUUCUCCAAGGGGCUCUGCACCCCUUUUUUCUCUCCACAAAUUCAGGGGGAAUUCAGGGCAUUCAACACCACUCAGGAGAGACCCAGCACCUCACAGGACUGGACACUUUGUAAGGACCUGAUCUUGCUCCCAUUACAUUACAUGAAAGCAAUCACAAUGAAAUCCGUGCAAGCAGGAUCAGUGAAUGAAAACACUCUUUUAAACAGGCAUAUAGUAAAGCACGAUAAGGACAUUGCAAUAUCUUCUAUUUUGUUGUUUAUUAAAUGUGAAUUUAUUCUAUCCAUUUAUUCAUAAUUCUCAGCAGGAACAGGAAAUUUUAUGCAAGAUUAAAGUUUAUGGAACAUCUUAAUAUACAGAACUGUAAAUCCACAAACUAAAAAACCAUUCAGGCAAAUUUCAGUUGCCACAAAUGUUAGGGAGCAGAGGUUUGAUAGUAUCUUCU